UAAACUGGCGGGAAAUAAAAAUUAUCAAUAACUCAGGAAAAUAAUAUAUUGAAUGGGAAAAUACAUAUUCCUGGCAGACAGCAUAAGCACUUGCUAGCCAAACCAUCUGUGCUGGCGGGUGAUGUAACCACAUCGCUAGCACAGAAAGCAUCUAUGCUGGUAGGUGGCUAACAUCAUCCGGUAUUUGUGCUAGCUCAAGAUUCUUGGCGGGUGCAAUACCUGUUAGCACAAACCUAUUCUAACCGCUAGCACAGAUGCUUUGUGGCGUAGUGCCUCCUGGAGCUUGGCCAAAGUUGCGGCUGAGCAAGGUAGCCAAAAUUGGCAGGGAGACGAGGGAGAGGAAGAUAAGCAUUGCUGCGCUUAGCUCCAUGAUGAUCGCUUGAUUAAUUAAGAGUUUACUAUGCAGUUUGCGUGGGAAUGAACAGCAAGAGUUAAGAGCUUUU
Molecule: long non-coding RNA, 443 nt
Filed under: Setaria italica (foxtail millet)
Lineage: Eukaryota; Viridiplantae; Streptophyta; Magnoliopsida; Poales; Poaceae
Description: long non-coding RNA (SITA_LNC004445)
Source: RNAcentral